UUGAUCCUGGCUCAGGAUGAACGCUGGCGGCGUGCCUAAUACAUGCAAGUCGAACGCGCAGCGAGAGGUGCUUGCACCUUUCAAGCGAGUGGCGAACGGGUGAGUAACACGUGGAUAACCUGCCUCAAGGCUGGGGAUAACAUUUGGAAACAGAUGCUAAUACCGAAUAAAACUUAGUAUCGCAUGAUAUCAAGUUAAAAGGCGCUACGGCGUCACCUAGAGAUGGAUCCGCGGUGCAUUAGUUAGUUGGUGGGGUAAAGGCUUACCAAGACAAUGAUGCAUAGCCGAGUUGAGAGACUGAUCGGCCACAUUGGGACUGAGACACGGCCCAAACUCCUACGGGAGGCUGCAGUAGGGAAUCUUCCACAAUGGGCGCAAGCCUGAUGGAGCAACGCCGCGUGUGUGAUGAAGGCUUUCGGGUCGUAAAGCACUGUUGUAUGGGAAGAAAUGCUAAAAUAGGGAAUGAUUUUAGUUUGACGGUACCAUACCAGAAAGGGACGGCUAAAUACGUGCCAGCAGCCGCGGUAAUACGUAUGUCCCGAGCGUUAUCCGGAUUUAUUGGGCGUAAAGCGAGCGCAGACGGUUGAUUAAGUCUGAUGUGAAAGCCCGGAGCUCAACUCCGGAAUGGCAUUGGAAACUGGUUAACUUGAGUGUUGUAGAGGUAAGUGGAACUCCAUGUGUAGCGGUGGAAUGCGUANAUAUAUGGAAGAACACCAGUGGCGAAGGCGGCUUACUGGACAACAACUGACGUUGAAGCUCNAAAGUGUGGGUAGCAAACAGGAUUAGAUACCCUGGUAGUCCACACCGUAAACGAUGAAUA
RNAcentral lists this ribosomal RNA (820 nucleotides) under uncultured bacterium. RNAcentral's name for it is "bacterial SSU rRNA". It matches the Rfam family "Bacterial small subunit ribosomal RNA", at positions 13 to 815 of the family's 1533-position model. The record is from RNAcentral.